RNAcentral lists this ribosomal RNA (465 nucleotides) under uncultured bacterium. RNAcentral's name for it is "partial 16S ribosomal RNA". It matches the Rfam family "Bacterial small subunit ribosomal RNA", at positions 28 to 507 of the family's 1533-position model. The record is from RNAcentral.
GACGAACGCUGGCGGCGUGCUUAACACAUGCAAGUCGUACGGUAAGGCCCUUUCGGGGGUACGCGAGUGGCGAACGGGUGAGUAACACGUGAGUAACCUGCCCACAACUUUGGGAUAACGCUAGGAAACUGGUGCUAAUACUGGAUAUGUGCUCCUGCUGCAUGGUGGGGGUUGGAAAGCUCCGGCGGUUGUGGAUGGACUCGCGGCCUAUCAGCUUGUUGGUGGGGUAGUGGCCUACCAAGGCGGCGACGGGUAGCCGGCCUGAGAGGGUGACCGGCCACAUUGGGACUGAGAUACGGCCCAGACUCCUACGGGAGGCAGCAGUGGGGAAUAUUGCACAAUGGGCGCAAGCCUGAUGCAGCAACGCCGCGUGCGGGAUGACGGCCUUCGGGUUGUAAACCGCUUUCAGCAGGGACGAAGCUUUUUGUGACGGUACCUGCAGAAGAAGCACCGGCUAACUACGUG